Molecule: small nucleolar RNA, 109 nt
Organism: Prosopis cineraria
Lineage: Eukaryota; Viridiplantae; Streptophyta; Magnoliopsida; Fabales; Fabaceae
Product: small nucleolar RNA snoR97
Exons: 1
Source: RefSeq, a predicted model, not a curated record
CGUUACUAACUGGAUCAUAGUUUGAAAAACUCAAAAAAUUUUCAUGUUGUUAUCAGCUUCGUCUCUUAUUUGUCUUAUGGGAAUGGAGUUAAAUAACAGCACUGAAUUC